This 265-nucleotide ribosomal RNA is filed under the name uncultured bacterium. Its description in RNAcentral is "partial 16S ribosomal RNA". It matches the Rfam family "Bacterial small subunit ribosomal RNA", at positions 334 to 596 of the family's 1533-position model. The record is from RNAcentral.
AGUUCCUACGGGGCGCAGCAGUGAGGAAUAUUGGUCAAUGGUCGGGAGACUGGACCAGCCAAGCCGCGUGAGGGAUGAAGGUACAGAGUAUCGUAAACCUCUUUUGUCAGGGAACAAAGGCGGGGACGUGUCCCCGGAUGAGUGUACCUGAAGAAAAAGCAUCGGCUAACUCCGUGCCAGCAGCCGCGGUAAUACGGAGGAUGCGAGCGUUAUCCGGAUUUACUGGGUGUAAAGGGAGCGUAGACGGUAUGGCAAGUCUGAAGUG